UACGUAGGGUGCAGGCGUUAAUCGGAAUUACUGGGCGUAAAGCGUGCGCAGGCGGUCUUUUAAGUCAGAUGUGAAAUCCCCGGGCUUAACCUGGGAACUGCGUUUGAAACUGGAAGGCUUGAGUGUGGCAGAGGGGGGUGGAAUUCCACGUGUAGCAGUGAAAUGCGUAGAGAUGUGGAGGAACACCGAUGGCGAAGGCAGCCCCCUGGGCUAACACUGACGCUCAUGCACGAAAGCGUGGGGGGCAAACAGG
Molecule: ribosomal RNA, 253 nt
Filed under: uncultured bacterium
Lineage: Bacteria
Description: partial 16S ribosomal RNA
Rfam family: Bacterial small subunit ribosomal RNA
Source: RNAcentral